AAACUGGUGUUGGUGGUGGUGGAGAGUGCAUUGGUGGUGGUGGAGACUUGUAUUUGUAGACCGGUGUUGGUGGUGGUGGGGAAUGCUCGGGUGGUGGUGGAGAUUUAUAAACUGGAGUUGGUGGUGGUGGAGACUUGUACUUGUAAUGGUGUACUGGUGCGGGAGAAUGCUUAGGUGGUGGUGGAGACUUGUACUUGUAGACGGGUGUUGGAGGUGGUGGAGAUUUAUACUUGUAGACCGGUGUUGGUGGUGGUGGAGACUUGUACUUAUAGUGAUGUUCUGGUGCGGGAGAAUGCUUAGGUGGUGGUGGAGACUUGUACUUAUAGUGAUGUUCUGGUGCAGGAGAAUGCUUAGGUGGUGGUGGAGAUUUGUACUUAUAAACCGGUGUUGGUGGUGGUGGAGACUUGUACUUAUAAUGAUGCACUGGUGCGGGGGAAUGCUUAGGUGGUGGUGGAGAUUUAUACUUGUAAACCGGUGUUGGUGGUGGUGGAGAAUGUUUUGGCGGAGGUGGAGACUCAAAAUGAUAAGGCGUUGGAGGAGAAUGCAUAGGAGGUGGUGGAGACUUGUACUUGUAAACCGGUGUAGGUGGUGGUGGAGAAUGUUUAGGCGGGGGCGGGGAUUUGUAGUGGUAAGGCGGAGGAGGAGAAUGCUCCGGGGGUGGAGGAGAAUGCUCGGGAGGUGGUGGAGAGGAGUAAGAGUAUUUAGCUGUGGUUUGUGAAGCCAAAUUGAGGGACACCAAUACUACAAGCAAAGACACAAUGAGAGACCUCAUUUUGGAGCCUCUAGCAAUCCUUCCCAUGUUUACUACAACCAAAAGGCU
RNAcentral lists this long non-coding RNA (820 nucleotides) under Daucus carota (carrot). RNAcentral's name for it is "long non-coding RNA (DCAR_LNC006454)". The record is from RNAcentral. Lineage: Eukaryota; Viridiplantae; Streptophyta; Magnoliopsida; Apiales; Apiaceae.